GACUUCUAUAAAUUUCAUUAACUUUUUUCAGGUACUUUCUCUCAACAGACUGUUGGCUAUCUCUCAACAGACUGUCAAGAUCUAAAGAGAGGAACCAGAGCAUGAAAAAAUGAAAAUAUAGGACCCUGUCCUUUCCAGAAACCGAAAAUGCUAAAUUCCUUCUGACUGGAAGUGAACAUGAACCUCUGGCACUUGGAUAUUCACAUGCCCAACACAUCUGAUACACUUAACAACUAUGGAAACACCAGUGGAAAAUGUCUGCUUGUAGGAUCAAGAAAGAACUUUCACCAUGUAAAGGCGGAGUUGCUGCACGGCGGCCUCGGCAGCGGCUAUGGCGGCCCCUGCGUCUUCCAGGUGGGUCUGAGUGACGCUGGUUUUGCUUUGACUGCGAGAUGGUCCGUGUGAGCGGAGAUGGCCUUCAGAUGAUGACUUCGAGCUGCCAGGACUACUGUGGGAUUUCUCAAUAGUGGGAACCUGCAUGUCUGGUUACAAAAGGGUAAAACAUGAGUUCAAGCAUCCUUCCUGUCAAGUUGGGUGGAAAAUAAUUUGAAAUUGCCUAUGCUUUAUGUGGAUUAUCUGGUUUUGUAUGGCACCUUUAUACAACUGCUCACAUAGAGUAAUAUGAUUAAGCAUUUAGGAAAUAAUUUUGGGGUGGAAAGACAUAAGGACCAUAGUCUUGAAAAGAGACAUACUUGAAAAGAGGAAUGAAUUCAUUCUAACAAGCCUUGAGUACAUGACUAUAUUAUCUUGUAGUUUCACCAAGUAAAUCUCUUAAUUCUAGUAGAAGCCAGGUAAGAGACAACAGGAUUAUACUGCUACGGAAGGAGUGUUAAUUAAAUAUGUAGUGAAUUCUAGAUGAAGGUGUGUGGACAUAUUAAACAUGGAGAUUGUGGAAUCGUCUUCUCAGGCUACUUUAGAGAAUGUAUAGAGCACACAUUUUGUAAAGUGGUUUGAGCAUGGAGGUCAGAGAAAGAGAGAGGUGCAGUUCAGAUAGGAUAUUUAUACUAACCGUCUUCCAGAAUGUCAAUCAGGGUAAGGUUGAUAUGGGUAAAUGGAAUCCAUAAGUGAUCUAUAUAGCUCGUUCAUAAGUGCUCUACAGCACUCACUGUAGUGAACAAUUUAUCAUAUCAACUCAGUGACCUACUGGACAUGGCCUCAGUUUCCCAUCUCCUAGAACACUUGUACUUAUGACCCAUUCCCUUCUAAUGUACAAAGAACUACUUUUCAUUUGAUGUAUUUCUGAAAGGAGGAGACAAGGAAGCAUUCAUGAGGUCCAAUAUAAAAUUUAUAUUUAAUAUUUAUACAUAGUUGACUAUAUUUGGGUAAGUUACUACAUAGUUAUCUCAUACAGGUAGUACCUUGGUUUAUAAUGAAGAUUCAUAUUGUAUUGUAGGGUAGUUGAUAAUGAACCUCCCAAAGGAAAGCUCAUUUGAAUGGGAAGGUGUUCAAUUGUCAAACCAAAUCUAUGGCAUUGCUAUUUAAAAAUAAAUGAAUGGUAGCUAAAAAAUCAGAGUUAGCUUUAGUCCAACUGUUUGAAAAGGCUUAAGUAAAUUUCUGCAUAUCCAUCAUUUUAAUGUGAUGGGGAACAUGUUCUUGAUAGGAUUAGUAAAUUGUAGGAUGCAAAAUCAUAUAUAUGAAAUAAGACUAUACCUAUGGAAAAAUAGGGAUUUAAACAAUUUAGAAGGAAUAUGCCUAAAUGGUAAUGGUGAUUAUGUCCAGUAAAUGAGAUGGUAGGAAUUUGUAUUUCCUUUAUAAAAUACCGCAAUGAAAUUUAUAAAAUCAUAUUACCAAGAAGUUUGAGAGCUGGAAAAGAUUCAAUAGUCCCUUGAGCCCAAUCUUCUCCAUUUUACAGGUUGGAAAAAGAGGAACAGAGAGGUGAAGAUCACAAAGUCAUACACCUAAUAUGGGCUGACCCUGAAACUAAAGUCCAUUUUUCCUGAUUUCAUAUCCAUCACUCUUUUCAUGGCAUUAUGUUGUGUAUUUUCCAAUAAAAUCCGAAUCUAACAUUUCAAACUAUAUUAAAUAUACAGACAUUUAUACUCAGAAAGAUACUGACUGAACAAGUAGACACAAUUUUUUUUUCUUGAAAUAUCUCCUACCCUUGGAUGGGUCAGGGAAGAUACCAUGACUUCUGCUUUUGAUGACAGAUGGCUUUGGGGACUGCUGGGUGCUCUGACUGGAAUGGGACUUGCCAUGAUCAAUGCUUUCAGUCUGUUCUUUGAGAGGAUACCACCUAGGAGUGUUAUCGAGGUGAGAUGUGCUAGAUAAAUCAAUCAAUACCUGAAAAACAGUAUAAUAAACUAAUGAAAUAUAUGGUCUAAGCUAUAUUUAUUCAAUACUCAUUUAUGUGAUCUAAGAUUUCUGCUUAAGGAUAUUGACUCAAGGAUAUAGUAUAAGCUCUGAGAAUACUGAGGCUGGGUUCCUCAUUUUUUAAAUCAUCCAUGAUAUUGGCAAUGGUAUCUUGUGCAUAUCAGAUGCUCAAUAAAUGUUUGAUUAAAUUGAACAGUUUAAAAAUUUGGCUAUCAACAAUUUAUUUUUAGAUGUGUAAAAAGGCAGGGGCUCAAAUCACUCUCUUCCUGAAACAGCAAAGUUUUCUUUUGUUGCAUAGACACAGUCUGGUCCUAAACUUGGCUAAGAACUUUGAUAAAUGUUUUCUAUUAGUUACAAGAGGGGCAACAUGAAAAAGAACGGGUCAUUUGCAAUUACUAACGUAU
Molecule: long non-coding RNA, 2714 nt
Filed under: Dasypus novemcinctus (nine-banded armadillo)
Lineage: Eukaryota; Metazoa; Chordata; Mammalia; Cingulata; Dasypodidae
Description: lncRNA (ENSDNOG00000051886.1)
Source: RNAcentral